CAAAACCCCACCCCCUUAACUCUAAACCCUAAGGUUUGGAUUAACUAAUCCAAGGGGUAUAAAUGUAUAUUUACCUCUUUAAUGAAACCUAUUUUUAUGACUUUGACCCUUGAGUGCUACUUUGGGAACAAAAAUUUGUUUUGGUGCUAUCCUAGUCUUUUUCUCCAUAAAUAAUUGAUGAAAGUAUUAGUAGUUUUUAUUUAAGUAUCUUAGAAAGCCCAUUAAAAGGAAGGGGUUCAAAAAAAUAUCUCAACUAAAAAGCCCAUGGGCUUAGAGAAACCAAAAACCACACGGCUCUCCGUUUGCCGCUUUCCCGCUCCUCCUCCAUCAAAAAACUCUCCAUCUUCUUCACUAAACGAUCGAACUUUCUUCUUCGUUGCUUGGUUCCGGAAGCAGUCACAAUUUUUUUAUUGGAAGGCUAAAAAAAAACUCGCCGGAGAUGGACACACCGGAUAAGAACCGCAUCUCCGCCGUUUCGUACUGCAACUUCGAGGAUUCUCCAGUUUUUCAGUAUAUUAACGGACUUUCCCCAAUAGAGCCAGUGAAGGCUGAUCAUGCCUUCCACUCGUUGGCUCUUGCAUCUCCUUCAUCUCUCUUUAGCUCGCCGCAGAUAGUUUGCAUCAAAAGACAAGAUGUUCUGGUUCAGCUGAAGUGUAGUGGACCUGAGGAGGAGAUGGCGAAUGUUUCUGAAACCGAGGCGUUUAAGGAGCAGGUUAAGGUAGCAAUUGAGUUGGCGAGUUCUUUGAGGAAGGGAGAGGAUGGAUGUUGUAGUCAGAUGGGUUCUUCUGAUGAAGUAGUAGUACCAAUGGAUGCUGAGAAUGAAGUGAUAAAACAAUCUGGGGAGUUGUGUAGACGGAUUAAUGAGCUUGAUGCUGAUUCGGAUAUGGUAAUUCAAACCGAAGAAAUGGAAGCUGAGACUGGGUCUGGCGAGCAAGAGAUACCAAAUGGGAAGGAUUCAAGAAUUUGCUCUUUUACUGUGGUGCCUCAGCAGUUUUCUUAUCACUCAGGGAAUGUAGUGCAGCCUUGCAGUGUGCAAGUUGCAGCUGGAGCUCUAGACACCACUCUUAGCAGUUUAUCGAACGUUGCAGCUUUUGAUUCUACAGCCAAAGCUGAAGAUGAGGAAGAAAUAGAACUACAGCGCAGUAGCAAGCAACGGAGUGUACGCAGGCGCUGCUUGACUUUUGAUUUGGGAGGAUCUUGUAAAAGGAUACCUUUGCGUGAUUCCACAAACGACAGUCCCCUUGAUUUUACAUCUAUCAACGAAGCUCCUACUCCUCAAAGCUGUUUACACUCCAGCAAACAAGAGACCGAUGAGAUUCUACCCGUACCACGAACUAUUGGCCUGCACUUGAAUGCUCUCGUGAACCCCUACCGAAAUAAAUUUACUGCCAAAGAUGGCUGUGUUCUAUCUCAUGCUGCAGAAGAAUUCACAACUCCUGUUUCCACAAUAAGGGAUUUGGUGGCCUGUGAUAACCAAAUCAUGGAGGAGGCGUCUGAGAGAUCUAUGGAAGGAGAAUGGGUUGAGGAACUUGGCAGUUGUAAGCGCUGUAGAUGUAAAAGAUCCAGAUGCUUGAAGCUGUACUGUGAUUGUUUCGCUGCUGGUCUAUACUGCGUCGAACCUUGUUCGUGUCAAAAUUGUUUCAAUAGACCAAUCCAUGAAGAUAUAGUUAUAAGAAGUCGUCGAAAUGUUGAAGCUCGCAACCCAUUAGCUUUCGCUCCAAAAGUUGUCUUGACUUCUGCCUCUGCUACAUAUUUUGGGUAUGUUGAGGCAGUGACAUGUUAUUAUACAACUCAUGCUAAUUAUAGGAGGAGAGCAACAAGACUCCUGCUUCAGCAAGACACAUGAGAGGAUGCAACUGCAAGAAAUCAGGAUGUUCAAAGAAGUAUUGUGAAUGCUACUUGGUGGGCGUUGGAUGCUCGGCGAGCUGCAGGUGCAUAGGAUGCAAAAAUAUUCUCUGUCAAACAAAUGAGCAAUUCCACUUACCUUGCGCGGUAGAGUCUGAUGCGGUUACAAUCAACGAAGAAGCUAAAGAUCAUUGUGAUUAUAUCUAAGUCUAGUUCGGUAUAUAUAUAAUAAACAUAUAUGAAAGUGAUAAUCCCUGGUUAGGAAAGUAAAUGUGUUCUGUUUUACUUUGCUCUUUGUUUAAAUUUAUAUUGGUUGUUUGUUUGUUCUUUUGCACUGAAGAAAGUUUUGUAACGGUGGUAACGAUACUUGUCUCAUUUGUCUUCUACUCGUUUGUUUUCUCUUAUGGUUGUUGCGAGUUCGUUCUUGAAAGCAAGCCGAGCAUCGAAUUAUUAAAACAAGUAACAAAAGACAAGAUGACUUUGAUCUGGUCGAUCUUGGCCAGAACAGAACACUAUCAUUUGGAUUUUGUCUCAGUGUAGUGUCAAUUCGAUGGCAUGUGACAUAGAUUAUUAUGAACUCAAAGAACAUUAACAACCAGUACAAUGGCAGAAGAUCAAGAGGAGGUUUAUUCGUUAAGAUGAAAU
RNA transcript from Brassica rapa (field mustard), 2490 nucleotides. It is a transcript of the gene named protein tesmin/TSO1-like CXC 4, with no coding region annotated. NCBI's taxonomy places the organism in Eukaryota, Viridiplantae, Streptophyta, Magnoliopsida, Brassicales, Brassicaceae. The record is from RefSeq and is a predicted model, not a curated record.